UAUGCCUAAAAGGGCUGUACAAACAGACAGCGGAGGAUUGGUUCAGAAAAAUCAUCUCUGCAACCUUUAGAAUGCUAUUCACCAUACUAGAAAUGAGGCUACCCCCCCCCCCACAGGAAACUGACAAAAUGCCAGUAACGGUGCUCAGAAAAUGUUUUCAUAUGCUUCAGCUGGCUUCAAAGGAAAAGAAAAGAAAGAAAAAAUCAUGUACUUAAGUAGUUCACAACGCAAGAGACAAUAGAUUUUAUUUGAACAAUUAUAAUCUUUUCCCCAAGUCCUGUUGUAGCUGUGCAGACUUUAGUUUUUGGGGAAACUUACAAGAAUGGGGAAAAAAGAGACAUUUGAGUCCUUCUAAAAGCAAACUACGUUUAAAGGGUUUAACCCUCCUACCUGCAACCCCAUUUCAUAUGUUUUUGUGACAGCAACAUGUUGGAAAAUUUGUAGAACUGCAUAUUUUAAUUAAAUGAAUGUCUGUCAACUAAAGAAUUCAGGAUAAGGUAGAAGGAAGUUAUACUGAAUUGAGAUUUGUGUGUAAAGACAUUGUUUGAAUCUAACACUACGUUGGAAGACAGGCUGCAACAUCUCAAUAACUCUCAAACCUCCGGCAGAGAUGUGUGGCGUAACCCCCCUUAUUUGGUUACACAAGCGAUUCUGCAUGAUUUGUAUUUGCACAACUUGCUUUCUCCUGCAACCUGCACUUAGAGACUGUGGCUGUGCCUGGCUGGUGUUGCCAUUUCGGACAUUCUAUUGUGUGACAUUGUGUGACCAAGACCGUUGCUGUGAAAGUAGGGAGAAAAAGAUGUUAUGCUUUGGAGGUCCACGUUUCAGGUUACAAAAACACUACUGCUCUAAAUGCUUUGACUUUAAAAAAUUUUAUGUCUCACGGAAACAGCCCGUUGCUACAAAGCAGCUGUAAGUUUUUUCUUCUUCUAGAAACCACAAGACUUUGCAUAAUUUGAAAAACAGGCUUCAGUAUCCUAGCAGAACUCAGCCGUCGGCAGCUGGAUGGGAGGCAAAUACGGAUUUAAAGGACCCCUCCUUAACCCUGCACAUGCAUGAAGUUCUGUGGAAGGAAAGAGAAACCACGAGGAGAUCCUGAAAGAUGGACCAGACGUGGAAUCCUGUUGCAAGCCUUGUGAAAUUCGGCAAAGACUGCUGUAAGGCACUGCUGCUAUAUCCCAGAGAUGACUUCUCAACUAACUGCUGCUACAUCCCAGAGAUGACUUCUGUGUGCCAGACACACCUCAAUGUCCAAUACGUGGGACGCACUACCUCGGAGAGUUUGGUGGUGGACUUACCAGCAAGAAGUUCUAAAACAGCAGCGGCAGCUACAAGGACAAUCUCUCCCCCCCCUCCUUUGUUUUUUAUCUACAGGAAAUCACUCGAGCGAACAGCGUGUAGCCUUGCGGAGCCUGACACGAUGGUUCCAGCCUGACGCUAGCGAGUCCCUGAGUGAAUCCUUGAAGGAAGGGAGACGAGACCCUCUUCAUUCCUAGGUGGUGAGGUAUCCAUUCCAUCCGGUGAAAGUGCCUGAGAUGACCCCCUGGAUCCACACCCUGCUGUACCUAAUCAGGAGUGGGUACCCAGCGCACGGUGCACCAGUUUCCCCUUGCAGCGUCUGACCGGCAAAAGACGCCCAGCGCAUGGGAAACCGAAGUAGCCCCUGCUGUGACACUCCGGACGCUGUCACUCGACGCACGGGUUGAGGAAUGUCCAUCUUAUGCAGCACCAAACAUCAAGGAGACAAGGAGACGCAGUAAAUCUUAGACCCUUAUAUAUGUAUGUAUGUAUGUAUAUUUGUAUGGGAGGCAUCAAUUGAGUGGGACCCACAGUAGAAGUCUACCUGCCCCCAAAGCAGUAUCCUUAAUUUGGAAGGAAGGGCAGUGUACCUGCCUCACUUGAGCGAACAGACCCAAAACAGUUUCAGAAAUUGAACCAUGGGGUGGGUUCCAGCAACUCCCUAGGUGAUACAGGGCUAUAGCUGGGUUGGGGAUGUAACUGGAAGACGUUGGCCAGGUGCACCCCUCAGUUCUGGUUUUGGAAAUGAUGGGAGAAGCUUCUGGUAGCCCACUGAUAUCUAAUGCAAGCCUCUCCUGAUUCUGGCAAACUGGAACAAUAGCCAUUCUUUCUGUAGCCAAAUGCUCAGCUAGGACAAACCUCCAAUUGUUAUAUAUAUAUAUAUUCCUGGCCUUUAGAACUGUGUAGGAACUUUUGAAACCCACUGAUUUGCAUUGAAGCCCAGUACUGAGCUGAGAGAGAACUGUGUAUUUUCCUGCUGACAUAAAGUUUUGGAAACAGUGGCUAAAGCCCCUUGGCUUUUAGAUUUCCAGCAACUAUAGUAUCCUAGUAUCUCUGAAGACUAGUGUGGCCAUUAUAGAUUCAUGGCCCACCUGAGAGAAAGAACCCUUUGUUGCCAAAAUCUGUAUUGCGAUUUUUUUGUUGUGCCUCAAAUGGAAAUGCAAUGUAGUAGAAAGUGGCACUUGUGCUUCGAUAAAAAUGAUGUUUGUAUAAUGCAAAUAUGUGUUCCCUGUUAGGUCUAACACGAAGGCUAAAACCUUCAACAGAAAAUGCUUAGGAGUUAUGGAAAUAGAUUAAUCAAAAGCUGAACCAGGCUUAAAUUCAGCAAGCAUUUUUACUCUGCUUUAUAGCAUCAAGCUGAAGCAGGAAAAAAAAAAACUUUCAUGGUUAUUUUACACUGACAGUUCUGCAGACUGAAUGCCUUAAUCUA
Non-coding RNA from Zootoca vivipara (common lizard), 2728 nucleotides. The record is from RefSeq and is a predicted model, not a curated record. Lineage: Eukaryota; Metazoa; Chordata; Lepidosauria; Squamata; Lacertidae.